CGGCAGCACAGGAGAGCUUGCUCUCUGGGUGGCGAGUGGCGGACGGGUGAGGAAUACAUCGGAAUCUACUCUGUCGUGGGGGAUAACGUAGGGAAACUUACGCUAAUACCGCAUACGACCUACGGGUGAAAGCAGGGGAUCUUCGGGCCUUGCGCGAUUGAAUGAGCCGAUGUCGGAUUAGCUAGUUGGCGGGGUAAAGGCCCACCAAGGCGACGAUCCGUAGCUGGUCUGAGAGGAUGAUCAGCCACACUGGAACUGAGACACGGUCCAGACUCCUACGGGAGGCAGCAGUGGGGAAUAUUGGACAAUGGGCGCAAGCCUGAUCCAGCCAUACCGCGUGGGUGAAGAAGGCCUUCGGGUUGUAAAGCCCUUUUGUUGGGAAAGAAAUCCAGCUGGCUAAUACCCGGUUGGGAUGACGGUACCCAAAGAAUAAGCACCGGCUAACUUCGUGCCAGCAGCCGCGGUAAUACGAAGGGUGCAAGCGUUACUCGGAAUUACUGGGCGUAAAGCGUGCGUAGGUGGUCGUUUAAGUCCGUUGUGAAAGCCCUGGGCUCAACCUGGGAACUGCAGUGGAUACUGGACGACUAGAGUGUGGUAGAGGGUAGCGGAAUUCCUGGUGUAGCAGUGAAAUGCGUAGAGAUCAGGAGGAACAUCCAUGGCGAAGGCAGCUACCUGGACCAACACUGACACUGAGGCACGAAAGCGUGGGGAGCAAACAU
Molecule: ribosomal RNA, 719 nt
Filed under: Stenotrophomonas sp. PRS-14
Lineage: Bacteria; Pseudomonadati; Pseudomonadota; Gammaproteobacteria; Lysobacterales; Lysobacteraceae
Description: bacterial SSU rRNA
Rfam family: Bacterial small subunit ribosomal RNA
Source: RNAcentral